GGGGGUGCCCCGGUCCCGGUCGCGGUGCCUCGGGCGGGGCUGUCUCCGCCGUGUCCCGUGCUCUCCUGGCAGAGCCGGUUACGUGUUUAGGAGCCUCCCCACCUCCGCGGCCUCACAUCCGCUGCAAAUCAGAUGCCACAUCGUCGGGGUUUGAGUCUGCAGCGAUUGGGAGCAGGAGGAGGAUGCUUUGCCCUGCCACACCUCGGGGGUAAUCUCUCUGUCACUGCCUGGAGGGAUGAGCUCAAGCAUUAACCCUUGGGCUGCUGUUCUCUGUUCCCUCCCACCUGGCGUUCUGCAGCACCUUCCCCAUCACUGACAGGACUCACGGACAGCGGGGGGCACAUGGAGCAGCACCAGUGGCCAGAGGAUCCUGAUGUCCCCGGCAGAUCCAGCAGCAGCUCAGGUGGAGCAGCUGCCACUCUGAGUUUUAGCUCUGUGCAGGGGAGCUGUGUGCCCAUGCCCCGGAGGAUGGAGAGUGCCUGGCACCCUGCUGGCACCAGGGUGGUGGCCAGGGCACUGGGAGAACUGGCCUGGCCGUGUCCCCACUGGCUGCCCUCGUCUGGGUAUUUUUAGAAGCAAAAUGUUGUUCAGUGGCGAGAAGGAGAAGGGAGGGGAAGCUGGGUGGCAGCGAUAGGGCAGCUCCUUCCGCGGGCAGUGCCCGUGCAGCUCCAGCCCCGGGUCAGACCCCUCUGAGAGCCAGCACCAGGACCCAUCCCAACCCCAUCCCACUGGGAGCCUCUGCUGGCUCCAGAGCUCACUCCUGAGCCUCCCCACACUGGGGAUCCUCACUGCUGCCAGUGCCCCCACCCCAUCCAGCCCCCCAGAGCCCAGCUGAGCUGCACCCACCCUGGCAGGGGCUGGGAGGGCUGGCGGGGGCCAGUGUUCCUUGAGCUCCAGCUCCCAGGCGCCAGCAGCUGUUUUUAGCCCAGAGAAAGUCCAAUGUUUUGAGAUUUUCUAUUUUGAGCAGCAGAGCUGAAGAAG
Molecule: long non-coding RNA, 981 nt
Organism: Passer montanus (Eurasian tree sparrow)
Lineage: Eukaryota; Metazoa; Chordata; Aves; Passeriformes; Passeridae
Exons: 3
Source: RefSeq, a predicted model, not a curated record